CCUACGGGUGGCAGCAGUGGGGAAUAUUGCGCAAUGGGCGAAAGCCUGACGCAGCGACGCCGCGUGAGGGAUGAAGUUCUUCGGAUUGUAAACCUCUGUCAGCAGGGAAGAAAAAAGACAGUACCUGUAGAAUAAGCUCCGGCUAACUACGUGCCAGCAGCCGCGGUAAUACGUAGGGAGCAAGCGUUAUCCGGAUUUAUUGGGUGUAAAGGGUGCGUAGACGGAGAAGCAAGUUAGUUGUGAAAUCCCUCGGCAUAACUGAGGAACUGCAACUAAAACUACUUCCCUUGAGUACUGGAGAGGCAGGUGGAAUUCCUAGUGUAGCGGUGAAAUGCUUAGAUAUCACGAAGAACUCCGAUUGCGAAGGCAGCCUACUAAACUGCCACUGACAUUGAUGCUCGAAAGUGUGGGUAUCAAACAGGAUUAGAUACCCUUGUAGUC
RNAcentral lists this ribosomal RNA (441 nucleotides) under uncultured bacterium. RNAcentral's name for it is "partial 16S ribosomal RNA". It matches the Rfam family "Bacterial small subunit ribosomal RNA", at positions 338 to 795 of the family's 1533-position model. The record is from RNAcentral.